RNAcentral lists this ribosomal RNA (781 nucleotides) under uncultured archaeon. RNAcentral's name for it is "bacterial SSU rRNA". It matches the Rfam family "Archaeal small subunit ribosomal RNA", at positions 21 to 805 of the family's 1478-position model. The record is from RNAcentral.
GGUUACUGCUAUCGNUGUUCGCCUAAGCCAUGCGAGUCAUAUGUAGCAAUACAUGGCGUACUGCUCAGUAACACGUGGAUAACCUGCCCUUGGGUCCGGCAUAACCCCGGGAAACUGGGGAUAAUUCCGGAUAACGCAUAUAUGCUGGAAUGCUUUAUGCGUGAAAUGGAUUCGUCUGCCCAAGGAUGGGUCUGCGGCCUAUCAGGUAGUAGUGGGUGUAAUGUACCUACUAGCCGACGACGGGUACGGGUUGUGAGAGCAAGAGCCCGGAGAUGGUUUCUGAGACAUGAAUCCAGGCCCUACGGGGCGCAGCAGGCGCGAAAACUUUACAAUGCGGGAAACCGUGAUAAGGGGACACCGAGUGCCAGCAUCAUAUGCUGGCUGUCCAGGUGUGUAAAAUACACCUGUUAGCAAGGGCCGGGCAAGACCGGUGCCAGCCGCCGCGGUAACACCGGCGGCCCGAGUGGUGAUCGUGAUUAUUGGGUCUAAAGGGUCCGUAGCCGGUUUGGUCAGUCCUCCGGGAAAUCUGAUAGCUCAACUAUUAGGCUUUCGGGGGAUACUGCCAGACUUGGAACCGGGAGAGGUAAGAGGUACUACAGGGGUAGGAGUGAAAUCUUGUAAUCCCUGUGGGACCACCUGUGGCGAGGGCGUCUUACCAGAACGGGUUCGACGGUGAGGGACGAAAGCUGGGGGCACGAACCGGAUUAGAUACCCGGGUAGUCCCAGCCGUAAACGAUGCUCGCUAGGUGUCAGGCAUGGCGCGACCGUGUCUGGUGCCGCA